UACGGAGGGGACUAGCGUUGUUCGGAAUUACUGGGCGUAAAGCGCACGUAGGCGGAUUUGUAAGUCAGGGGUGAAAUCCUGGAGCUCAACUCCAGAACUGCCUUUGAUACUGGGAAGCUCGAGUCCGGGAGAGGUGAGUGGAACUGCGAGUGUAGAGGUGAAAUUCGUAGAUAUUCGCAAGAACACCAGUGGCGAAGGCGGCUCACUGGCCCGGAACUGACGCUGAGGUGCGAAAGCGUGGGGAGCAAACAGG
This 253-nucleotide ribosomal RNA is filed under the name uncultured bacterium. RNAcentral's name for it is "partial 16S ribosomal RNA". It matches the Rfam family "Bacterial small subunit ribosomal RNA", at positions 524 to 776 of the family's 1533-position model. The record is from RNAcentral.